RNAcentral lists this ribosomal RNA (253 nucleotides) under uncultured bacterium. Its description in RNAcentral is "partial 16S ribosomal RNA". It matches the Rfam family "Bacterial small subunit ribosomal RNA", at positions 524 to 776 of the family's 1533-position model. The record is from RNAcentral.
UACGGGGGGGGCAAGCGUUGUUCGGAAUUACUGGGCGUAAAGGGUUCGUAGGUGGCCAACUAAGUCAGACGUGAAAUCCCUCAGCUUAACUGGGGAACUGCGUCUGAUACUGGAUGGCUUGAGUGUGGGAGAGGAAUGCGGAAUUCCAGGUGUAGCGGUGAAAUGCGUAGAUAUCUGGAGGAACACCGGUGGCGAAGGCGGCAUUCUGGACCAUAACUGACACUGAGAGACGAAAGCCAGGGGAGCAAACGGG